UGGUGAAAUUAGUAGGAAUAAGUCAUUAUCAACUAUUAUGUCAAAUUGUGUGCAGAAAUUGACAUUUGAACAUCCACUGCAUUUUUUCCCACUUGUCAAUUUGUUAGAUUUGGCAAUCUUCACCUUCACACUUACCACAAUACCUUAGUAACAAGGUUCAAGGUUUUUAUAUAGAUAUCUAAUGCCAUCUUCAUGGUAGCCAGGAAACCUCUUAUAUACCAAUUUUAAGUUGUGAAGGCCACCUUUCAAUGUGGAGGCAUUGUGUUUCCUAAUUCACAGUUAUUUGGAACUUUGAAAUGCGCCUUUCUGUGUUCAGCAUCUUGCAGCAGCGAGAGGCUAUGAAGAUAUUGUGUUUUUUCUUGUUCAAGAGGGAGUAGAUGUCAAUACGAAAGGUUUGUUUCCUCAUUAAUGUGGACUGGCUCUUCUGUAUUUUGUACCUUUUUCACACCAACAUUGCAAAGAUGAUUUCAUUGUAGAUAAUUUUGGGAACACGGCCCUUCUAGAAGCUAUCAAGAAUGGAAAUGAUCGAAUUGCCUCAUUACUUGUUAAAGAAGGCGCAUCUCUAAGGAUAGAUGAUGCUGGUAGUUUUCUUUGUGCAGCCGUGGCAAGGGGUGAUUCUGAUUUUCUUAAAAGAAUUUUGGCUAAUGGCAUAGAUCCUAACUCUAAAGAUUAUGACCACCGAACCCCACUUCAUGUAGCUGCCUCAGAAGGGCUAUAUCUGAUGGCAAAGCUGCUUCUAGAAGCAGGGGCUAGUGUUUUCUUGAAGGACAGGUAUAUUCAGACUUUCAGUGUCCAUGUUCCUUGCAUUGAAUGAUCGGAUGCUUCAAACAUCUCAUAGAACUAAUCUAGCAUUUUUUUGGGAUCUCACAAGUGCAAUUAUCAACUCUUUUGUUCAUGCAGAUGGGGAAACACACCGCUUGACGAAUGUCGAAAAUGUGGAAACAAAAAUUUGAUUAAGCUGCUGGAAGCUGCAAAAUCCUCUGAAAUGUUAGAGUUUCAGGACAGCUUUCGGGAAACCACAGGUACCUGCAAAACUUAUCAGCAGUUGCUAGGAUGUGUGUAAGAUCCUAGGAAAGAAAUGAAGAAAUUUCAUAUAGACAUGAUUAGUGGGAAGCAAUCAAUUGGAUUUAGAGAUGUCCGCAAUGGUUACCUUCAUUGUGCUUAUAAUGCGCAGUCUGAGUUCAUUACCUUGCCCGGUUCUUACUGUUACCUGAUUGAGCUUUAGACUGACGUGAACUCUUCACCUGUCCAUCCUUUACAGAUAAGUUGCAUUCAAGAAAAUGUACAGUUUAUCCUUUUCAUCCGUGGGAUCCUCAGGAGCAUAGAAGACAUGGGGUUGUGUUGUGGGUCCCUGACAAUAUCGAGGAGCUCAAAAGAAAUGCAUCGGAGCAGUUAAAUGUUCCGUCCGCCAAUUGUGUAUUAUCUGAAGAUGCAGGUAAAGUUCUUGAUACGGACAUGAUAAGUGAGGGCGAGAAGCUGUAUUUGAUUACCGAAACGCAGGAAUAAUUUUCACCAGCUAUUAUGUUGAGAAACUAUAAACGUUGUCGUAAUUAUUAUUUUGCAUCAUUCGCAUGUGUUUGGGCGCACUCUUCGUGAGUUUCUUGAUGUUUGGCCGAGGGAUUGAGUGAUCAGGUGAUCUAUAUUCCAAUUUUGGUCACAACUCAUGCGGUUCUCUCCUCUCUGGGUUUGAUCCGGAAGACGUACUUCCACAAGCGUUAGCAUGUGACUUAAAGUCCCUGGAAUCAUACCAAAACUGUAGCAUGCUGUACGUUGAUGUACAUUCAUCCCAAUGUAUCACGGUUUCGGCAAAACACAUUUAGAGUGUUUAAAAUGUGCAUAGAUGGUGUGAUUCAGUCUCAAAACUUCCCAGUUGAAUGAAUUAUAUCGUCCCUUAACUUUUUAAAGAGAUGCAAUCAACAUAUUUUGGUUGAUUAAGUUGGCUUUUUUGGUUAGAAAUUGCUUGGCAAGUAUUCUUAUGCAAUGAAAUGGACGAUGAAACUUGUCUCGAUGACUUAUACUUAGUAGGGUUGAUUGGAAAAGAAAAGAAGAGAAACAACUUGCAUAUUUUGUCUGACCCUUUUAUUUCUUUUGUGGUUGCAUGGUAGGUUAGAUGUACAUUCUUAACAGAUGCCAUCCUAAAUUUAUUUAUGGACAGAGCGAGACUUGGCUUGCGUUCGUAUACGUUGGCUCGGUUAGAUGCUUCUUGAGAAUAGACACCUUCUCACAAGUCACAACGAACGAAAGCCAGUCAUACUCGCAUCCCGCGGGCUUCGAACGAAGACACCAAUUUGCUUGCACCUUCCAUUUAUUCCAUCUUUUUUUCUUUUUUUUUCCCUCCAGAAAGUUAAGACUUUUUUAAAAUUCAAAGAGUCAGGUGACUGUCUGGAAGCAUAAAGAUGCCUCCUGCAUGGUUAAAUCAGGUCUCUUAUAUUUGUAAAUCUGAAAACUGAAAAUAACCAGAUAGAAGCAGGUGCGGCAGAUAACUUCUUUCAAGGUAAAGAGUCCAGUAAACGCGUCGGCAGGUAACCACAUUCAUGGUCCACAGGUAGAUCAAAACAUGCUGCAAUUGCACUAUGAACGUGCCUGUGAAAGAAUUCCAAGAGACGAAGAGUCUAAACAAAAACAACGGGAUGCAAAUGCCAACAGAAGAGGGUAGCAUAUUACAGCAUCAGGAGGUUAUUAUUAGCAAAGAACCGCAACUUCUAAUAUUAAAGAACAAUUGAUCCAAAAUAAAAUGGAAAUUUGAAAAUAAGGACUAAACUAGUAUCUCUAGCACAAAUCAAAUCUCUAAAACCAAGAGUAUUUCCAUUUCAACUCGAAUGCAAGAACUAAAUAUGAAUCACCACUUCGAGUUUAGUUUCCAAAAUUCUCCAAAAGAAUGAAUAAAUGAAACCCUAACGUUGAUCGAGAUACUAAAAUAUUUCCACUCGAAUUCCAGAACCUUAUAUGAAUCUCCACAUCAAGUUCAAUUUUCUAAAUUCUCACAAAAAUAAAUGAAUGAAACCCUCAUGUAAAUCACAAUACUAAAAUAUUUUCCACUCGAAUGCCAAAAUCAAAUAUGAAUCUCCAUUUGAAUAACAAAACCAAAUAUGAAUCUCCAUAUCGAGUUCAGUCGCCACGUUGUGAAGACCCUCUCAAACUUUUUCAAAAUGGACGGAGAAAAGGAAUUAGCAUAGAGUGCAUUGCCUAAAAAGCGGGCCUACAACCCUCAAUCAGGUGUGAAGUGUGAUUUUAGUUCAAUUUACCUAAGGGAUUUUUAGGAGUUACCAUUAACCUUUUCAGGGUCAGUUAGAAAUCAAACAAAACACAGGAGUUUUGUCUCAUUUUCUAUGCAAUCACAAAUUUACUAUGUAUGUUAUGUACUUGAUUACACGAAUUGUCUAAUUAUUGCCCUUUUGGUACCUAUAACUUAGUGGGAUUGUUUAUCUAAGUGAUUACGUGACCUUUUCAUCAUUUAUGAUCCUAAAGGUCUUUAGAUUGUUACAUGUUCAUGCAAAUGGGGGUUCAUUAUGUUAGGCUGUCUCAAUCGUUCUCGAAAGGAAAAGAAAUAAAUUAUUUAUUUAAAGAGCAGGAAUGCGACACUCAAGUAUUAAAAGCUCAAAGUAAAAGUGCUGGAAUGAAAAUUUGAUCCUAAUUGGGUAAAGCAUAUUACGCCUCUUUGUUCUAAGCCUUAGGAAAUGAAAACCCCAUGAGCUUAAUCUGAUACUAUGUUGGAUAAAAAAUAUACGUUGCCUUAAGCCCUGGAACAUGAAACCCCAUAAGUUUGAAAUUAGAGGCUAGUCUGGAUCCUAAUAAUUGAGCUACAUGAAGGCGAGCCUAAAUUCUACAAAAUUUUAUUCAAGUGGUACACGAAUCUAGUCUGAGAUACCCGUUAUUAGGAAAAUGAUCUUAGGCCCAAUUGGUUUUUAUUGGCUAAACUAGACUAAAGUCUAAACUAGUUUGGUUAUUAAAACCUAAGUCAAUUGGUCUAACUAGACUAAUUAGCCCUAAACUAGCCUAACAUUCCCUGGACUGCCACCAUGAAUUGCCCCCUCAAGGCUCUCACCCGCCGCCCUCGUGCCUCCAGCCACCGACAGCCGAUUUCGGUUCCAUCCAUGUAAUCACUCAAAUCAAUGAUCAAUGGGUUCAUAAAAGUUAAUUAACAAAGAAAAAAAAAACACCAAUUUGAUUUGGGAAUUUUGUGUCGAUCAUGCAACUCGAUCACCCCUCCACGUCAUAGGAUUAAGGAUUAAUUAAUUAAUGAUAAAUAAUGAUUAACCCUCACUUGCAUUUCAUCAAGCAAUAAGAUAAGGGUGCGUUUGGUAAUAUUUCUAUUAAAAAAUUGUUCUAGGGAACAGAAAUAAAAGAAAAAAUUAUUCUUAUUCCAAUGAACAAUUUUUAAACAGAAGAACGCAUUUGGUAACUAUACAAAAUUGUUGUUCCUAAAACAAAAAAAUAACAAAAAUACGUUUGAUAAACUUGUAUAAUUUUUUUUGUUUCUUUAAUUUUUUUAAUUUUUUUCUUUUUUCUUUUUUCUUCCUUUUGGCCGAUCGUCGACCUCGGCCAUGGUCGGCAACUGAUUGAUGAGAGAUGAUGACUUCGCCUUGGCUAGGCAAGCUCCAGCCGACGCGAGGCCGAGCUCGCCUAGCCACCAAUGAGGCUCGGCCUCGGCGGGCCACCACCAGGUAGGGGUCGGCCUCGCCUUAGCUGGGUGAGCUGGGCCUCGCCGGGGGCCGGCGAGGUUACUAGCUCUCGACGGCUGAUCACCAGCCAUGGCCGAAGCCAGCAACCAUCCAAAGAAAAAAGAAGAAGAAAAGAAAGAGGAGGAAAAAUAGGAUAGAAGAAAAUUGUUUCUCGGAAGUGUUCCUAGGAAUAAGAAACAAGUUUUUUUCUUAUUUCUUGUUUCUAUUCCCGAAAACAAAAAUGUAAACAAACGCAAUUCUAUUCUUUUUUUAUUUCCCGUAACAAAAGAAUAGAAAUUAUGUUCUGGAGAACAAAAAAAGAACACAAACAAACAUGCCCUAAAUCACCAUCACCAAAUUAAGCUUUGAUCCCCUUUUCUAAACUACUACGGAUGAAUUAGGCAACGUCAAUUGCAAUUUAGCCUAAUAUGCAUCUAAUCAAACACACACCAAGUCAAUUCAGUAUCUAGUUAGGCCAAUUAGCCUUAGAAUCCACAAAAACAAUUAGUGAUCCAAGAGGGUUUCUUCUCUGUUUUUCCCCUAUUUUUGUUUGAUUAUAUUUUAAUCAAUUGACUAACCUGAUGAAAUCCAAAUUGAAUUAUUUCAGCGGCUAAUGAAAGCAAGCCUACUUCAAUCUUGAUUGAGGCCAUUUAGUGAAGUCAUUUUCCCAAACUACGAAUAGAUUGGGGUUAAUUAAUCGAUCUUAGCCGCUCUCUGAAUCCAUUCGAACCCUAUUUUUGAAAAGUACUAUAAAAAUAGCAAACAAGGUCCAAUUGUCGCGAAAUUUAAGGGACAGCUAGCCCUGCACGUGCUCUUUAACUUUUAUUUUUAACUUUUUGUAAACAAGCCCUCCAAGAACUAGCAAAUCAGAUUAAAAUCAGAACAAUUUUUUGGCCAAAUCUGACCUGAUCAGAAAUUAAUUAAUUGGCCGCCCAAAAAUCAUUCAAAAUUUUAUGAAAUUUUCCAGAUUCAUAGUUCAAGACCUCCUUUACAACUUUCGUUCGUUAAGAUUAUCCAGGAAGGACCUCCAACUAUUUUAAAACUCCGAAUUAUAUUUAAUUGACAAGGCAAUAAAAAUUUCAGAUAAAACAUUAAUUUUUUCGUCUUUUUUUAACAAGUUUCAGACAAACCAAACGAAUUCGAAUUUUAUGAUCUUCAUAUCAUUGGAAAACUUAUGAUCUAAACUAUAAAUAACCUGAUGACAACCUUUUCUAAUAGAUUUUUUUUUUUAAAUUGAUGAAUAUGUCAAUCAGACUACGAUUUUUUUUUCCAAAUUUAAUUCACAUCUUCAACUACAUUCAAACUCUCCAACUAAUUUAUGUUAAUUAUCCGGAUUAUGAACAUCUUCAAACUACGGACAUUCGACAUAACAUUCAACUAUUCCACAUCAAAUAAAACCUAUAUCAUUUAUCUUCUCAUGAAAAUCUUAAGGGUUUAUCAUCAAGAUGCAAUUCAAUUAUUCAUAAUCAUCAUCCAUCUAACAUAUACCAAUCCUAUAUAGCACUAGUUAACAUCAAAUUAUAUCGAGAUACAUGCUAGAGAAGGAUCGGCCAGCGUGAGAAACAAUGAAUUGAUCAUUAGAUAAAAUUGAACUAUACUAGAGCUAAUGCUUGAGAAUAUAUAUCCUAAUCAUAUAAUAUUAAGCUCGAUUGGCAUGCUAGCAUUAAAAUCAAUAUCAAAACUCAUCUAGAGAGGCUAAGCUAAGUGUAAAUUGAAAUCCUAGGCUUCUCUAAACAUGUAAUUGAUACAUAAUUUUUGGCAAUCAAUCUUAUGUUUUGAUCAAUUUCAUUCCGAUUAUGUCUAAUUCCAUCACAUCAUAUCUUAGAAUCAAAAUUGAAGAAUUUUCUUCAAUUUCGAACUAUAUUCAUCCUUAUAUCAUCAAAUGAUUAUGUGAGUGAAACAAAUCAUCAAAAUUUUGCUACUGGAACCAACAUUGGAUGAUUAUUGGCAAGUCACUUAAAAAACAAUUGAAUUUGAUAAACUCGGGCAGCAAUUGAGUAUAAUUCCGGCCACAAUCACGCAUGGGACAUCUUAAGAAUGGUUGGCAUUCAACUAGUCUGGCGGAAGGAGGCUGAGAUAGUUUGUCUCACCAUUGAUCAUUGUCAAUGAGGGCCCAUAUAAGUCUUGUGCCAUAAUCGAGUGCAAUAUUAGCAUAGGUUACAUCAACAUCAACAUGUUGGAAAUUUUGAUUUAAUGGAACACCCCCACGAAAAAUUUAGACUCAUUCAAGAUUUUUAAAAAGGUCCUAAUUUUGUUGAAUUCAAAAUAUUAAGUCACAGGCUUUCUGUAUGUGAAAAUUUUUUUGUCAAUGAAACGUCACACAAAAAACUUAUACUUGAUCAAAAUUUGACUAAAUUCGUCUUCUGUUUUCUUCAAUCCUUUGUUGGUUGAAAGCUCAAGUAUCUUUGUUUCGAUCAAGAUAGGGGUGUAGUUUGGUUUCUUAGCUUGUUUUGAAAUUCUUCACAUUUCUAGUGAAGGAGCUCAGGUUAAUUAGCACAAAUUCCAAAUGCCCACAUGCUAUCAACAUCAAAGUACCUCAGUUAAGGUUCAUCCCGGUGAAAACAGAUACAGAGUUGCUUGCCAUUCAGGUUAGUCUCUUGUUGUUUUUAUUUUUAAAUUUAAAGAUAUAGCAUUAAAAAAUGAAGCUCAGUGUAUCUUUUACUCUCUUACAGUCAAAUAGUUAUAAUGUGGAUGGUGCUCUUGUUAUUGAAGAAAGGGCUAGAACAAAUCCAGAGCAUGAGCAAGUUAAGAUUUACUUGCAUGAUAUUGCCAUGCCUUUUUUGGGGAUAAUGAUGGAGUUAUUCUGAUGUCACUAGGUUGGCAAUUGUAGGAGGGAGCCAAUUUAAUUUCUAAUAGUAUGGAGGUUUUUGGUGGUCUAUCCUUUGCCUCACUCAUUACUCUUAAGGUAAUUAUCUUUAUGGUUUGUCGUAUGCCUAUCCACUUAUGUCAACAUGAUUUGCUUGAUUUGCCUCCACCAAAUAAUAAUAAUAAUAAUAAUAAUAAUAAUAAUAUUUCUUGAUUCAAGUAGGGAUACAAGACCAAGUUAAAGUGGAAAUUUUAAAUGAGGCGAUGCUGCAAAAUAAGCUAGAAUGGACUCUAUGUCCUUUAUUUGUGAGGUUGUCACUAUAUUUCUUUUAAGAGUGAAGUUUCUAGUUGUGGUGGAAAUUCGUGAUGCUACUCAAUCUGAUUUUAUAUAGUGACUUCAUUCAAACUAACAGAAUUUUGUGGCGCUCCAUACAAGUAUAGUUGAAUGUGUUCAAAUUACUCCUCAUAAUACAUUUUGAAUUGCUAAGCAAAAUUCACCUUGAGAAACCUGUUAUCUUCAACUAAUAGAGAUGAAAGUGAAUGAAAAAAAGCUUGAACUCCACAUUUAAUAUUAUGCAAUUUUGCAUGAAGUCUUUCCAAUAUAGACACCAACUUAGAUCAUUGUCAAUGUGGGCAUGUGCAAGUCCUGAAUCUUUAACGAGCACAACACUAACAUUAGUUACAUCUAGUUACAUUAGCAUGUUGAAUCAAGGAAUUGAUUCCCCCACAUGCACAUUUCACAUUUUAAUCUAUGUUGGUUUCUAAACUAGACAAUUCUCUACGAGGACAAAAGCUAGUCUUAAAGUACCAUAAGUAUUCAAUUAGGAUUCGUACUUUUCUCUAUACAAAUGCAUAUGGCCAAUUUAUUGAGAAAUGCACAUCAUGGGCUUUCCGUAGGUGUAAAAAUCGAGUUAAUGAGACAUCGGAUGGAAAUGUUAUGGUCUUCAAAUUUUUGUUAAAUUCGUGUAAAAAAGACAAGAAUAUGAUUUUUCAAACAAAAAUUCCAAUGUGAUGAAUUGAAAGCAUCGGGUCACAGAUCAUAGAAAAAUGUAAAUACCUCAAUAAUAAAAUGCCACACAUAAAACUUAUGCCCCGAUCAAGUUUUUCAAAAAGAUUUCAAUCUAAUUGAGUUAAUGCAGCGUGUGGUGAAAAACUUAUGUCCAAUCAAAAUUUGAUCAAAAUUGUGUAAAUGGCAUAAUCAUGGCAAUAACAAAAUAGUUAUAACGUGGACGGUGCUCUUGUUAUCGAAAAAAGGGCAAGAACAAGUCCAAAGCAUAAGCAAAUGAAAAUUCACUUGCAUGAUCUUGCCAUGCCUUUUUUUUGGGAUGAUGAUGGAGUUGUUCUAUGUUAGUAGGUUGGCAAUUUUAGGAGGGAGUCAAUUUAAUUUCUAACAUCAAUGCUAGUAGGAAGGUUUCUGGUGCUCUAUACUUUGCCUCACUCAUUGAUUUACUUCUAUGAUUUGUCGUAUACCUGCAUCCACUGAUGUCACCCACAGUUUGCUUGAUUUGUCUUCAUAAUAUAUAUAUUUUGAUUCAUGUAGGGAUACGGAUACUUAUUGAAGAAAGGGCUAGAACAAAUCUAAAGCGUGAGCGGGUGAAGAUUUACUUGCAUGAUAUUGCCAUGACUUUUUUUGCGAUAAUGAUGAAGUUGUUAUGAUGUUGUUAGGUUGGCAAUUUUAGGAGGGAGUCAAUUUGAUUUCUAAUGUCUUUGAUAAUAUGGAGGUUUCAUUGGUCUAUCUUUUGCCUAACUCAUUGAUCUUCAGGUAAUUACCUCUAUGGUUGGUGGUAUACCUACAUCCACUCAUGUCAACCAUGGUUUGCUUGAUUUGCCUUAAAAAAAGGAAAAAAAAGAAAAAGAAACUAGUAUUCCCUAAUUCAUGUAGGAUAUGAGACCAAGGUUCAGGUGGAAAUUCCAAAUGGGACGGUGCUACAAAAUAAGCUAGAAUAUACUCUACUUUCUUCAUUUGCUAGGGCUGCCUGUAUCUCUUUUAAGUGUCAGAUUUCUAGUUGUGGUGAAAAUUUGUGACCAUACUUGAUCUGAUCUUGUAUAGUGAGUUCAUUCAAACUAUCAGAACUUUGUGGCGCUCGUAUAGUGAGUUCAUUCAAACUAACAAAACUUCGUGGCGCUCUUUCUUCCACGCAAGUAUAGUUGAAUGUGUUCAAAUUGCUCCUCAAAAUGCAUUUCGAAUUGCCGAGCAAAAUUCAUCUUAAGGAACAUGUUAUCUUCAACUAAUGGAGAUGAGGGUGAAUGGAAAAAGCAAGAACUCCACAUUUAAUAUUACGCAAUUUUGCAUGGAGUCUUUCCAAUAUAGACACCAACUUAGAUGGUUGUAAAUGGGGGUAUGAAAAAAUCUUGAAUCAUAUUAGUUAAAUCAGCAUGUUGAAUCAAGGAAUUGGUUUCCCACAUGCACAUUUCACAUAUUAAUCUAUGUUCAUUUUUAAACUAGACAAUUUCCUAUAAGGGCAAAAACUAGUCUUAAAUUACUUGAAGUAUUUGAUUCAGAUUCGUAUUUUUCUCUAUACAAAUGCAAAUGGCCAAUUUAUUGAUAAUUCCUGUUAUCUUCGAUUUUAUCGUGUCUUGAAUCGGAAUUAAGUAUGAAAUAGGAUAAAAGGAUUUAUCAUAAUUUUUAUCGUGAGUACCAAACGUAAUCCAAAAUAAUUCAUUGAUAUAUCUAACCAAUAAGUGUAUAUUUUGUAAUCCUCGAUUCCUUAAAACACGGGCGCCAGUCUGAAUCACAUGGAGGAUGGAAGUACUUUCCGCUACCACCUGUUUGAUGUAAAUUUUCUCAUUUGACCAGAAUCAAUCCAGCGACAUUAUUUCAAAAAUAAAAAGAGCGAAAAAGUCCCAAUCGGUGAAUAUAAAUAGACAGAAUGGUACCAAAAAGGUGAUGGGAAAAUUUCAAAGUUCCAUUACGUGGCAGCUGGGCUCUAAGAGAUUGCUAAAUCUUUGUUCCAUGGGGUAUGAACCUCUGACUGGAGCUUGAAGUGGACAUGACUUUUCAAACAAUACCAAGAUAAUGCGCCGCCAGGCAACCAAAUUUUAUUGGCUCUUAAACCUAACACUGCACUAAUCACGCUCUAAAUAAAAUAACUUAUGGACAGAAAAGCCUCGAAACUUUAUAUUAAACCAUCGGCACACGCAAUUUGCUCGUAGAAGUGAUGGAAACGACACUACGCUAUGCCCCUAUUGGACUCGAACAUCAGCCGCAUUAUGUCUAUCCUUUAGCUUUGAAUACGGAGUCUGUGGCUUCUGACGCUUUGGAUUCCAAUCACACAAUUAGUUUAAAACCUAGAGCUCGAACGUGCUCCCGGCAGCUGUUCUCUUGCUGAGAUCACAAAGUGCUCCACUAUCUUAUCGUAACCCUAAAAAUGGUAUGUGACUAAGGUUUAGUGACUGCAACACUCCCUUUCCCUAGUAGCUAUAAAGAAAUCUAAAAUACAUGGAAAGGACAAAAGCAGGGCAAAUGGAGAUGGGCCCAUCUAGGUGCUCUUCUUUCGCAGUGCCUUAAACUGAGUGAGCACACAGAUAAGCAAAAUGCACCAAUUCAGACAGAUGUCAUUUUGAAAGCGACUGUUCCUCAAGGGGGCUUGUAUCCGUCUUGUUAUGUUCUUUUUCUUGUGACGUGGAAAUGCAUAAUAGUUUAUACUUUGUGACGGGCACUGCUUGAAUUUUACCUGUUAUGGUUAGUGUGAGAUUAGACAAAGUGUUGAUGCGGGAUUGCAUUACCUAACAAAAUCUAUUAGUAGGAUUCCACAACCGUCCAAUUUGAAUUGGGGGUUGUUGUCGCCUGGCGAGGGCUCUUGGCCACAAUGAUCAAUUGUUAAAAUAUUUAAAUAUUAUAUUACUUUUUCAUUUAAUAAUUUAGGUUUUUAUAACAGUUGGUAAUGAUUCUACCAAAAUCUUUUAUUUUAUCGGAGUAGAGUUGAAAGUCUGAGUUCAAAUCUUUUUAAGUCUCAUUUACCUUUCCAAUUAUAUAUUUUCAUGCUUAGACUCUGUUCAUUUCACGGAAAAUAUUUUUCGAAUUUUUCGACGUUCAUAUUAAGGAAAAUGAAUUAUUUGAGGAAAAAAUUUUCCUUGAAGGGAAACAAAUAUUCUAAAAUAGGAGAAAAUAUUUUCCAUUAUUGAAAAGUGGAAAAUAUCUUCCUCACUUAAUUUUUCUAAUUUCACAUCCCUAAAAGCCCCCACUUCUUUCUUUUUAUUUUUUUUAAAUCAAAUUAUUUUUAUUUUAUUUUUUUCAUUUUCAUUUUCUUUUCUUUGUUUUCCUCUUCUUCUUUCUUGGUUGGCCACCGGUCUUUUCACUUACUCUCUUUUAUCUUAUAUCCCUACAAGCCCCUACUUCUUUCUCCUUUCCAAAAAUUUGAAUUUUUUUUCUUAUUUUCUUAUUUUCUUUCUUUGUUUUCCUCUUCUUCUUUCUCAACUAGUGGCCGGCCUUCUCACAUGCUCUCUUUUAUGUCACAUCCCUGCAAGCCCUCACUUCUCUAUUUUUUUUAAUUGUUUUCUCUUUUAAAAAUUUUGAAUUAUUUUUUUCUUUUUUUCUUUGUUUUCAUCUUCUUCUUUCUCAAUCGGUUGCUGUCCUCCUCGCAUGCUCUCUCUUAUCUCACAUCCCUACAACCCCUACUUCCUUUUUUUUUAAAAUUUUUUUUCUUUUAAAAAAAUGGAAUUAUUUUUUCUUUUUUCUUUUCAUUUUUAUUUUCAUAUUUUUUUCAUUUUAAAAUUUUUCUUUUCUUUGUUUUCCUCUUCUUCUUUCUCAGCCAGUCGCUGACCUCCUCACAUGCUCUCUCUUAUUUCGUAUCCCUAAGCCCCGACUUCUUUCUUUUUUUAUUUUAAAAUAAUUCAAAUUAUUAAUUUUUCUAUUUUUUCCUCUUCUUAUUUCUUAGCCAAUCAUCGGCCACAAUGACCGUCGGUGACCGUCAACAAGCAAGGCUCGAGGCCAACAAGCUUGGAGCUUGCUAAUUUGGUGAGGCCCAAGACUGGCAAGCUCCAACCUAUGGCUCAUUGAUUUAGUAACCCUCGAGCUUGCGGGCCUUAGGCCUCACUAGAUCGGUGAGCUAGAGGCCCUCCCUCACCGAUUGGGUGAGCCUCGAGCUCAAUGCUUGUACUUACUGAUCUAGCGAGUGACGAGCUUAGGCAAGCCUCAUACUAGUUAGUGAGUAUGAGGCUCACCUAUGGUCGAUCGUUGUGGCUAGCAACCGACUGAAGAAUAAGAGGAAGACAAAGAAAAUAAAAAAAAAGUUGAAAUAAUUCCAUGAUCUAUUUUUAAAAAAUAAAAAAUAAUUAAGAAUAGAUUUUUUAAAAAUUAAAAUAAUGAAAAAUAAAAUUUUAAAAAAAUAAUAAUAAAAUUAUGGAAAAAUGGUGUAUGAAGAAAAAGAUUUUCCUUGUUGAACAGUGGAAAAUAUUUUUCACUUCAUUUUCAAAUUUCACCUGAAUACCGAAAAAUAAUUAUAUCUUCCUAAAAAAUGGCUACUUGGAAAAUAUUUUCAAAAAUGCCAUAAUUUUCACGAGAUGAACAAAGCCUUGGUACUAGUCAAAAGAUUAGACUAAGCGUGAGAGGAAAUGUUAGAAUUUUUAAAUAUUAAACCACGCCUUCAUUUAACAAUUUAAGCUUUUAGAACCGUUGGUAAUAGUCCAAUCAAUUAGUUUGAGAGUUCUUCAUAGUUAGUGAUUUAAUUUUGUUCUCUCAUUUCCUCAAUAAAGAAAAAGCAACAAAAAGAUUUAAUAAAAAUGGAUGAAAAAAAAGUAGAACACAUCUCAACCAUCCAAUGUGAGCGAACGUAGCUAAUAUGAUAUGCUUAUUACAUAGUUAAGUCACAAGUAGCAUGCAAGUAAAAUUUGCCCUUUCCCUUUGUCGAAAAUAUAUCUAGACAUAUAAUAUUAAAAUAUCGAGAAUGUAGAUUUUAUUAUUUCGAAUAGUCAGUGUAUCGAAAAAAUAGAAGAGGUGUUUCGAAAUCGGAGAUCAAUGUAAUGAAAUCAUUUAGUAUGCGGUAUCUCAUUGGCUUAAGUAGGUCUUGACUUCUUUUUCUAUAUAAGAGAAGAUAAAACUAUGUACUCCAUUAGAACCAAAACCGGCCACAUACAUGACCCCUUAUCAUAACUAAGGUCAAAGGCAUAAGCGCAAAUCCUUAUUGGAUUGGUUUACAUAUUAAGUAGGUAGAGAAUCAUCACUUGCUAGGGUUAUUUUAUUUGGAAUGACAGACGCAGUGUAAUGUAUCAAUGCUAAGACUCCGUAUGUUUCGCGAAAAAAAAAGAUUUGGAAAAAAAUUCCAAAAAAAAAAAGAUCUCUUAUAUUGCUUCACAUAAUUAGCCAAUGAAAAAUAUUUUCACAUCAAUAGGAAUUUUAUUUAAACAUUUUCAAGUUUCAUUUUUGUGUAAACAAUACAAAUUAUUAUAUUUAUGAAAAUAUUUUCUCUUGGCCACAAACUAGAGGAGCGUUUCCAACAGUUGUUUGUAUGGGAUGAGAUUGAUCCGCCGAAAGAAUGCUAAACAGAAUUUGUCCGUGCGAUAUGCAUCCCUUUCAAUGUUUAAGUUCUGUAUCUAGUGAAUUCAAAGCAAAGCAAUUGGCUAAUAGCGGGUUUUUCACCGACCAAAUAUUUUCCUUACCUCUAUUUGCCUAGUUCCAUCAUUCCAUAUACUUGUUAUAACUUGAUGUGAUGGCUAUCACCUCUUAAAAUAUGAAAAACUCUAAAUUUGAUAUUCAAAAGACGUCGCACGUCAGGACUGCACCAUAGCCUAUUUCAUCAUUUCCGUCACCAAUUUUUUUUCUCUUUGGGUCAACCGAAUGAUCAAGCAAGAUCAGUGUUAUUGAAUACCAGCCACUUAUAUUUAAAACUCAUUCUGUCCCAUCUACAACUCAUCGUCUACCGGGCAAAACCGUAAGUAAGUAAUGCCUACUCUACGUUACCUCCAACCUCGCUCCAGCGUUUUCGAGAGCCGUCAUCUUGCACGCAUCUGCACUUAUCAUUAUCAUAAUCCAACUGUAAACACGUUUUCAUAAUAUAAUGAAAAGGCUCCAAAUUCGAUACGGCAAAGCACAUUGCGUAAUGUUGAUGUACCCGUGCCGCGCACCAUCAAGUGGCUUCAAUUUUCUAAGAGAUGCAUUUCAUUUUAACGUCACUCGGUAAUUAAUAAAAAUAGACUUAAUGAUUGGCGGCACAAUCAUAUGAGAUCACUAGAUUAAACAUUAAUGUUUUUUCCUAAUGCACUUCUCUUACAAGGGGUGUGCAUCGAUCCUGAUUUAACCCGAGAACCAGACCGGAUCGGACUAACAAACAGCUAAGAUUUCUUAAUCUUUUUCUUUUUUAUGUUUUGUUUUGAAGUAAACGUAAUUAGUAAGUUAUUUAUUUUUAAUGUUGGGAAACUCCCACUAGGGUGAGUUUGGUUCCAGGGUAGAACCUAUAACCUGAGAACCAGACUUGUGGGAACUUGUAGGCUCCAGAUUCCAAGGUAUAUAGGGUAAGUUCUUCUAAAGAAUGAGGAACUGUUUCAACAGGUACGUUACAUGUUAUUAGUUGGAAGAAUUUGGAACUUGGAUACUAUAACCUAUAACCUAAAAUCUAAAAAGUUUUAAUAUUUUUCUUAAUCCAUAUCUUCGUGUGAUCAUCCAAUAUUCCAUAUCAUUCAAUAAGCACUAGUCCGAGUUUCCAUUUUAUGGCAAACAUUUUUACUUUAUUAACGUUCAUAUUUUUCAUGUAUUUAAAUAUAAGUUAUGAUUAGUGAAUUAUAAUCGUUCAAAUAAUAAUAUAAGUGGAACUUAGCUAGAUCCUGAAUCCGACAUUGGAGCUUGUGAUGAGAUAGGUUCCAAGUUUUAGGGUAUCGAAGGUAAAUUCUAGAUUAAAAAAAAAUGAGGAACUUCUUCUAAUAAAUAGAUUCCGAGUUUUAGGUGGAACUUGUACAAAAUUUAGAGCUGCUCACCCUUACUUUUAUUUAGUUGAAUUCCUUGCCAAGAGUUCAUUUUCCUCUAUCGAUAGUUUUGUUCAUUUUGUGUUCUUUUUUAUGAAUGACUAGCUUAUUUAUUAUUGUUACAUUCAAUUUGAUUUUGUUUAACUAAAAAUAAAAAUAAAAAAGAAUAUAUUGCAAGUUAUGACGAGUUAUAAGAUAGGUUUUAGGUUCCAAGUUUAAUGAGUAGAUUUUAGGAUUUAAAAAAUAAGAAACCUGUACCCAAAAUAAAUUUCAGGUAAAACUUGUAAAAAAAUCUAGAAUUGCUCAUCCCUAACUUUCACCCAAAAAAAAAUAAAAAAUAAAUAAAUAUCAGUUUCACAACAAGUCGGUCUAAUUUCUAGCCCUGCAAAUUGGAAACCCGCCUUGCUUGGUUUAUUCAAAAUUCUGAGUAAAAAUCGAGCCAUCUUAAAAUCAAUUAUCCCUGAUCUCUUACAUUAAAUUGCCCCUGUACACGUUGGCGUUAUAUUGUAAAAUACCAGAUAAAUAAUUCUCAUGCUUACGUCAGCAAUGGAUGGGAUGACUCUUCUUCUACGUGCAUAUAUAUAACCAACAACUAGGAUUCGCUCCAGUGGAAGGGUGGCCACUGGAGCGAAUCCCCACAUUCUCAGAGGAAUGGGUUGGGAACGUGUAAGUUUCAAGGGUUCAAAUCCCCAUAUUUUCAGGGGAUGGGGUGGAGACGCGUAAGUUUUAGGAGUGGGUUUCGACUCUCACGCUCUGCAAAAAACAUGUCAAAAAUCUGAGAAUGAGCGUAGAGUGGAAUAGAAUAAGACUGACUGAAAAUAUAUAUAUAUAUAUAUAACCGCUACCUCCACGUCCCCAACAGUUUCCAGGCUCGCUGCGUCCCGAGCUGGCUUCUCGAGAUUUUCCCCCGCGUCGUUUUCACUCUCAUUUUCCCGAGAAAGCUCCUCCUCCUCCACUAAAUCCCAAAGCCUUUGCACGGGAAGGAGAACGACCGAGCAGAGAGAUUGCAUGAUAAGGGGCUGCUGCCCACGCAUGGCCAUCGUCUCGUGAAGAUUUGACGUCACUUGCCUCCCCGCUUUUCCCCGUGAUUCUCGCUCUCUCUCUCUCUCUAUCUCUUUCGAGAAAAUUACGUAUGCAGACGUGUCGGCAAAGGUGAAGAUAGCAUUCCGCAACUUUCUCUGUGCGCCACAUUCGAUCUUUUUUUUCUCAAUCUCAUCGAAAUCUUUGAAGAGGAAACGUCACGUCACGUCUCGUCUGGCCCUUUGCCAACUCGCGCGCGAUGUCCCUUAUCUAUCCACAACAUCGAGUCUCCAUUUCCGCCAUGGAAUCCUCCUCAUGUCCUCAAUGCUCUUUCUGUGUUCUCGCCUUCUUCGUUGCAGAUAGGAGCGGCGAUCGGGGUGCAGGAUCGGAAUCGUCGCGGCGGAUGCGAUUCGUUCCUCCUCUCGAUCCCAAGGGACCGAGCCGGCGUCCGGAUUCCGCGCGGUUGAGAUCGGAGAGGAAAUACGCGGGGCGAGAGAGGAGAUGGCGCGCGGCAGAGUGGAGCACAGCGAGAGAGGAAGAGGAUCGGAGGAGGAGGAGGAGGAGGAGGAGGACGAGCGGGAGUACGAGGUCGGGGAGGUGAGGGAUCGGAUUAAGUCGUCGAGAGGUAGCCAGUUCGACCUCCUGACCCACGAGCUAGGGCUCGGCGCCGCCGCUCGCCGGAAGUUCAGCCGCGAGACCGUCCUCAGCGGCAUCAGGGACCUCUCCAGAGGCCUCGUCAUCCACCCCGACAACAGGUCACGAUCUCUCUCUCUCUCUCUCUCUCUUCUCUGCGUUCUUCAUCAUGGAGGUCCGCGCAUGGCGACGCUUUGCUUGAUAUUUUUUGAGAUCGGAGGGGUGAUGAAACGGAUGGUCGAUGAUUUGUCUCGCGUUAUCUCUCUCCUGUUCAAAAUUCAGGAAGCGCCGAUUCGAUCUUGAUUUUGACGUGGCAUGGAUAGAGGCGGGAUUGAUUUUGAUUGAUUGGAAAUUAAGAAUUGAUUUCGUCCUUGUGGUUAAACAACUGGACGCGAGCCCGUCGUCCGCCGUACACGUGGCGGGUGCUUACUGGAGCUGUCUAUGGACAGUUACUGUAGGCCUCGAGUGCGUCAUGCCAUGCUCGCCUCACACUUGGCUCCGGCUCCAAUCCAAUCGGACGGCCAACAGUUGGCCAAUCCCCAACUCUGUUCCGUUCCCCUCAAAAAAUUUGAGUGGGGAUGCCAAGCUUCCUCGCCGACGUCGUUGGUUAAUUGCAAACCCGCUAUGAUAGUCAACUUCGUAAACAAAAGAAACUACUCCUCCUCUGUCCCACUCUAGCCCUUAAUUCAAUCUCAGAUUUUUAUUUCGCCUCUUUACCAAAUGUGGACGAACUCCAUGACUGAAAACGUCUCCAUCUAGUCCUUCACCUCCCCCUUCUCUGACCCUAGUGACGAAAGAACAUUUAUAAGUCAUAUUUUCGAAAAAAAUCCCCACUUUCUCAGAGGGAUGGGAUAGGGACGCGUAAGUUUGAGAGUGGGUUACGACUCCCACGCCCUAUAAGAGGCAGGAGUCAACUUCCCAAACAGAAACAAAAAAAAUACUUUUUUAUCUGUCUUAAUCUAGUCCUUAAUUAACCACUGGGGCGAAGCCCCAGUGGUUAUUAAUUGUGAACGGAUUUCAUAAAUGAAAUUAAAUGUCUCCAUCCAGUCCUCUACCUCCCCUUCGUCAGUGACUAAUGAAUAUUUAUAAGUUGUAUUCAUUACGUUUUGAAAAAUAUAAAUUUGCUCGAAACUGCUCCAAUAUAAAUAUGUGAUCCAGUCCUCGUUGGUAAAACUAGUAUCAGUGUAACCGACGUUUAUUGCUGAUCUGAUAACUUUGGAUAUAUUUCUGACGUUGGUGUCUGUGAAUAUCCCAUUUUCGAAGCAGAUGAUUAGGCAGACGCGGGAUUUUCUUUUUUUAAAUGAUAAGUUGUCAGGGCAGGGGAUGAUCACAUCACAUAGUCUUGCUGAUUGGUGACCUGCCCACUUGGUACGGCGAUUCUUUGCUUGGCUGUCCUUGUUUCCGUGAAGUCACCAUGUUCUUGCUUGACGACAACUGCAUCCUCGACCGUUCGAUUUCGCAGUUCUCCUUUGUAUCUUUCUCUCCCUUUACUGAUCAAGAAAGGGACGGUUUUUCCGGAAGUGGUUCGAAACUUCUCGUCCCCAUUACACGAUUCACCUGCGGCCCGUGAGAGGUAGGUCUCUGCAAGUCGCCAUUUAUGUCGCCGACUACCGGCUGUAGGGCGGUUCUCAAUCACUCAAAAAAAAAAAGGGACGGUUUUUCAUAAUUUCACAUUGGUUUGCCCAUGCUUUCACAUGUGAUUUUCUAUCAGAACAUCAAGGGCCCCUGAAAUGACGUCCUAAAAGAUUCCAAAUCUAUUUUGGAUGGACUUUCUAUAUUUUAUUUAGUUUAAAUUUUGCAGCUCACGCAUUUAUACUUUGAUAAAUUUAUACUUUGAUAACAUGUAGAUUCAUAAACAAUUUUUUCAUUAUUUUCUGAAAAUUGAAUGAUAUAUUAAAUUCUGACAAAAGGCCAAAAAGCCAAAGAGUACUUUUUAUCCUUGUUUAAGUCCAAAUUAACUGGCCUAAGAAGCCAAAGACAAGGGAAUCACUCAUGAGCUACAAAAUAUUUAUUUACAAGAUGUGAUGACAUCACUGCAUUGUUAGCGGCGAUAUUCUCUAUAUAGAGUUGUUCCUACAACAUUGGUUGUAUGCCAAAGGGGUUGCCUAGCUAUUCUAAAUAAUUAAUGGAACUCUUUGCCACUAAAUUUUGAUAAUUUUUUAUAUGUUUUCGAUCAACUUCUUCAGUUAAAGUGGGUUAAAGUGGGUAUGUUACUGGUGGACCGAAAGUUGAUAUUAGGAGAAGCAGGUUUUAGAGAAAUUGACUCAAAAUCUGCUUUGUAAGAUCGAUUCUAUUUACCUGUAUUCAUAGAUUGGAAUUACAAAAUAGGACAUGAAUUUUAAGGUUUAUCUUAUUCUUAAAGGAGCCAUUAAUUUUUAAGUUACUUCUAAAUGUAAAACCAUUGUGAACAACAAGACUUGAUUAAACAUUUUAACAUCUACUGUGAAAUGUUAAAUAGUUAGACAUUUAUCACUUAUUUAAAGAUUUAAUAGGCUUUGAUUUAAUAAUACAAUUCAGAUAUAAGACUUUCAAAGCAUAAAAUCAAUAUGAUUUGUUCAAUUUCUAUACUCGCCAAGAAAACAUUCACGCAAGAUUUAUCAACACAUGAUUCUUAAACUUUUGGUGAAAACAGAAAACUAUUUUGGCAAGGGUAAAGUCCAUGAUGGAGUAAAUGGAGCACUGCUGAUAUGGCAAUAAGCAUGACAUGUGGUUAUGUUACAGUUUAACUGUCGUAAAAAUGUUACUCUGCUUUUGCCCUUUCGUAUCCUCUAAAACUGUAUAAUAAGAGGCGCUUUAUCACUUCUAUAGACACUUCCUCCUCCAUUUGUAUUCUCUUCUUUCUUUAAAAUCGGUUUCUCCUCCUUGUCAUUUAUUAGUAUACUGUGAAAGAUUUUGUGGCUUCAAGUUUUUUUUCCUCUAGAUUAUCCAGAAAGAAUGUAACAUUUUGGAAUUGCGAAAAUAUUUCGCAUCAUCGCGAGUGGGUAUUAAUGGGCCGUGCUUUGGUCGGAUUAGAGAGCUGAAAUAAAAUGUAUGAGAUUAUCAAUACAACGCUUGCAAUUUGGACACUUUGGUUGUCUACCAUCGAGUUUUCAAGUCAAUGACAAAUAGAAGCUCAAACGAUUACAAGCUUGUAGGUUCUAAAUAGAGCAACACUUGUACCUUAAUGCCCUUUUUGCAUUUUAUUGAUCUCAUCAAUAGUCCCCAAGUUUACCGGAUGGUCAGCGCAGUGUUGGGUUUAGUAGCAAUGCUAGAGAAAAAAGAAUAAUCAUAUCCUUACGGCAAUUAGUAGAAAUAAGCUAUAUCAGCCCCUCUGGUUGGGUUAUCUACGUGUAUUUGCCUUAAAUCAUGUUGGUAUAUUAACAGGAACGUAGCUUGUUCUUUUGGCAACAGAGAGACGGUUUUUUUUUUUUGGGUGCAUUUUUAUCCUUUUCUGAUAAUCGUUUUCCAGACAAUGAGAAUUUCUUAAGCUUUUGAACUUUUACUUUUAUUAGUCACCGCAUCGAGUCUUUCAUAAAAAAAAAAUCUUUCCUAUUUUGAAAUGACUCUAAAAGGGUUUUUCAAUAAAUGAAAAAGAAUCCGAAUGAAACAACCUGUUCUUCUUGAAUACGCUGAUUCAGCGCUAAAGAAUUUCCCGCCGCUAUCAUAUAGUAUUCAUGAACUUUUACUUUUAUUAGUCAAGCAUCCGUACAUGUGGACACAAGUGAUCAAUCAGCUUUCUUCUGUGCAUGAAUGAGGCCUUCCAAUUUCCUAGCUAUGUAUUUAUGCAUUGAAGUUAAAUUGCGAGACACAAUGCAGGUAUUAUCGGGCUUGGAAAAAAUUCAUACUUCUGUGGGCUCUCUACUCAUCCUUCUUCACGCCAUUGGAGUUUGGCUUCUUCAGGGGAUUGCCAGAGAAUCUCUUUAUAUUAGACAUUAUUGGACAGGUUGCUUUUCUAUUUGACAUUGUUUUGCAGUUCUUGCUUGCUUACAGAGACACACAGACCUAUCGAAUGGUCUACAAGCGCACUCCUAUUGCUCUACGGUCAGUUCUCUAUCUGUUGUCUACUUUUUUACACGCACUAGGAUGAUUGCCUUGUGAUAAUUAGGUACAAUUUGCGAGUAGACUUCCUUACAACUUAUAGAGCUACGUAAUUUAUCUACACACAACAUUACUGGUUAAGUUCAAUCUUAAGAUAUAAGCAAUCAAAAGGAGAUGACUUAAGACCAUAAGAAUUCCAAUACCUGCAAGCACUUGCAGAACUGAAAAUAAAAUGAAUAGAGCUUAAUUUAAUCACAAGGGAAAAUUUUCAGCUUUAUUGUAAUUAAAAAAUUAUUAUUACUAGUUCAAAGCUUAUUGAAGGUUGGGCAAUUUUUGUUGGGUAAGCAUAAGAUUUCGUCAUCUAAUAGGUGUAAAUAAAUCACGCUUCUUUCCUUUGGCUUUCUUGUAGGUACUUGAAAUCUAGUUUCAUUGUGGACUUUCUAGGUUGCUUGCCUUGGGAUAUCAUAUAUAAGGUAAUCCCUCGCUUUGAAGUUAUCUUCAGCCAUUCAGGGCGAUACUAUACCCAAAGUAUUUUCUUCUAUGGGUGGCAUCUUCUAUGCAUGAAUAAUAUGGUUGGGAGUGGGAUUUUCAGCUUGACUUCAUAAGCUGCAGCAUAUUGUCACGGGGCACCAAACAGUUGAAUUUCUCCUUUGACCAUUAGAAUGCACUUUAUCACUUUUCAACUUUAAAGAAAACUGUAACUGUCUUGUUAUUAGAUGAUCUCCUUUUAUGGUACUACGAGUGCUCUAACUAAAGAUACUACUAAGAGAUGCAGUGUCAUACAUCCAUAAGGGGAUUCACGUCUGACCAUGCAACAUUGCUGUUGACUGACUCUGGUUGUUAGUUCCAUAUUCUCAGGUUUACGAAUUCGUGCUGGUGAAAUUAGUUCGGAGAAUUUCUCAGUAUAAAAUAGGAAAUUAUCAGACUUCUCAUUUUCUUUUCACCUGGAGAAAGAUAAGCGGCAACAAUGAUUUCUCACCAGAAAAAAUGAUUCAUUCAUUCUCUAUGUAGAGCUUUAUCUGAUCAAGUUGCAAGAUUUGUUUCUGACAGGUUGGUGGAAAGAAAGAAGAAAUCAGAUACCUUCUAUGGAUUAGGUUGAGCCGAGUGCGCAAAGUCACAGAAUUUUUCCAACAUAUGGAGAAGGACAUACGGAUUAACUACAUGUUUACAAGGAUCGUGAAACUUAUUGUUGUGGAACUUUACUGCACACACACGGCUGCCUGCUUUUUUUACUAUCUAGCAACUACACUGCCUUCUUCUGAAGAGGGUUACACUUGGAUUGGAAGCUUGAAGUUGGGUGAUUACAGUUAUUCAAACUUCAGAGAGAUUGAUUUAUGGAAGCGGUACUUAACAUCCUUAUAUUUUGCCAUUGUUACCAUGGCCACAGUUGGUAAGUCGUGCUUCUAACUUCAGUUCUUUGUGCAAGGUCUAAGUCAAGACUCUUGAUGCGCUUGUUAUUUUUGAAUGUCUUCCUUUUACGCUUAGUGGCUUAUGCAGCUCUAAGAGAAUGAUGAAAUGGCCAGAGUCGCCUGAAAUAAGUAAAAUGGGCUGCUGCCAGUAAAUUUAUCGUGGGGAAUUUAUUCCCUACGACAGUUUUUUUAGGUUUAAUCGAUACUAUAGUUAACAGCUCUGACUUAUUUAGUCUGAUCACACAUGUGAAGAAUGAGUCUGCAUGAUAAAAACGAUAGCAUUUGUGUAUUCCAUGCGGGUAAGGGAAUGCAGAAUAAUAUGAUGCUUCGUCCUUUUUUUACAAGAAUAUUGACUCAAAGGGCAAUAUUAUUAGGUUCUUUCCUUGAGAUAAAAAUAUGAUAGAUAUGGAAGCACAAUGUUAAUAACUAUAGCUUAAUGGGUAAUGAUAGCGAAAGCUAAUUCGCUAAGUGGUCAAUCUUUUUGUCAACAAUAGAAAAUCAAGUAGUAGUUUGUUGAGGAGUUUUGCUCCGGAGGUACCUUUGCUUGCGGAAGGAUUAGCGUCACACAAUUGUAACACUGUAAGUGAGAUGAAGUGAAGAGGGCACUAGAGGAGGAGCGAACAAUUCUAGUAGACUCGAAUGCAGGAAGCAGGUGAGGAAUGCCAAGUUAGUUAGAAUCAAUGGAAGUCAAGAGAAGUCGACAGAAAUUUGUUGUGGGAACUUCUUAACAGUUCGACACCGAAGUCCCUAAGUUCGGAAAUACCGAAAUGGAGGAGUCCAACAGUCUAGAAGAAAUAAAGAGCCAGCGGCCAAAACUCCAAUAGUCAGUUUCAUUCUAUAUCUACAUGUGUCAAAACUCUACCAAUUGACAGCGGCCGAAGAUGGUUAGCGGACAGGAUCGUGCCAUGUGGUAAUUUGGGUGUAGGGAAUCGGCAGUAAACAUGUUGCUGCGUGUCAGGGAGAAAUGGUUAAAUUCAGUUUCAUUGUAUAUCUACAUGGAUCAAAACCCUACCGAUUGACGGCGGCCGACACCCAGUCAAUUAGAUUAGGGUUAGGGAAUAGGUCAAGUCAUCUUUAACGAGCAUCACUCCUUACUCACCAAGUCAAAACUUUAUAAAACUUCUCAACUGGACGGGAAUGAUCCAGGAUUCCGCCACCAAUAUUAAGUCAUAACGAGCCAUGCUAACGCGAAGUAAACCUGUAAAAAAUGCCUGAAAAUGGCAUUUGUUAGUAAAUUCAGGAAAUUAUAUUAAAUGAAUAAUAAUUUAUUUUACAAUAAAAACAAAGGACCUAUUUACGCAUCUAUACAGCUGAGCUUUAAAACAGUGUAAAAGUUAUGAAAAGCUCUAGGAAUCAUUAGCCCAUUAUUUCUUCAAAAUUAUAUCUUCUCCGAAAUGCUGCUUUUGGGGAAAAAUCCAUCAUCAUUGGGCAAUCCAUUGUAGAAGGAAAUUGAUCAAUUAUACACAUUGUUUCAUCCCAUUGGCUCGGUGUCCAUCUUUUCUUUAUUUUUUUCUGGCAAGCCUUUGCUUGAAUAGCUAUUUGAUCGUUCUUUUAUUUGCAUUAUCAUUAAAAUUCUUUAAUUAGCCUAAAAUUAUUGAUAUUCGGAUAUCAGCUGUGGAUGUGAUCCUCAACAGGGGAUCUGAAUUUGGCAUGGCAUUACUGUUUUUGCAUUCAUCCACUAAGAUCCUUGAUUUCUUACAUGUUUCACAAGGUAGCUGAUGAGUGUACUUUUCCUGCAACAGGCUAUGGAGACAUACAUGCUGUCAAUUUGAGGGAAAUGAUAUUUGUAAUGGCUUAUGUGUCAGUUGAUAUGAUUAUUGGUGCCUACCUGAUUGGUAACAUGACAGCUUUGAUUGUGAAAGGAUCAAAAACUGAGAAAUUCAGGGAUAAAAUGACAGAUCUCAUAAAGUACAUGAACCGGAACAAACUUGGAAGGGAUAUUCGUAAUCAGAUCAAAGGCCAUGUACGUUUGCAGUAUGAGAGUAGCUACACUGAAGCUGCUGUUAUUCAGGAUAUCCCAAUCUCCAUCCGUGCAAAGGUAAUAUGCAGCUAGUGAUUAUUACCUGUCAGAGCAUCCUUAAUUUCUCUGUAUCUAAAAUCUUUGCAGUUUCAGUUGCAACAUGCUGACAUGCUUUUUUAUUUAGUUCCUACGAGUACUUGGGAGCUGUCAUUUACUUUAAUGGCCUUUUAUCAGGGAAAUAUGGAGUAUUGUAUGCUUCACUAAUCAAAAGCAUUUCUGACUCCAUCAUGGUGAUAUUAGCAUGCUGAUUAUCUUCUCCUAUGUACAAUAUACAGUAUGCCGAAUUGUUUAAAAAAUUUAGGAUUAGCUCACGAUUUGAUAUUUACACAACAAUAGGGAGUUCAGCAUUACCGAAGAAAGAUGUUUUUCUCAUGCUAUGGUUACCAGGUAUCUUGAAGAGCUAUUUUCUCAUUCCCUGCAGAUCUCUCAGACAUUGUAUAUGCCAUGCAUAGAGAAGGUCGCUCUUUUCAAUGGAUGCUCAUCUGACUUCAUUAACCAAGUUGUGAGUUCCAUUUUGAUUAUAUGCUGCACAUGUUUGAUUGACAGAAGGUGGAUAAAACAGAAUCGCUCCAAAUCAUUAUAGUGGGUAUAAUUUUGUCUACAGCCUUUGAUAUGAUAAACAACAAGAAAUUUAAUUCACAAUUCUUUGCCUUCCCUUUAGACCUAAUUAUAUUAAUAGAUAGUUAAGCAGCAUAAACAGAUGAGUAACAUAAUAUCUAGUUGCACGGACAUAUAGUGUUCAAAGAGAUGCUAAUGACUAGAGGAUUUUGAAUCCUCUUGGCGUUCAGCAUUUCCAUGACUAUUGGAGUUUGGGCACCGAAAGGACUUGGUAUUGUUGUGGGAGGAUUCAAUAUCAAUUGCAAGCUAGAAGGGUGGCAGAAUAAAAAGAUCAUGGCACUGAAUAUCGCUGUUGGGAAAUGGUCAAAGUGAGAACUCAUAGUAUUUUAAAGACGACUUUCAGCUGAGUAAAUGUGAAGUCAUUAUUAUGUCUCUUUCGUAGGUAACUAAGCUCCAUGAAGAAUUUUUUCUCCCAGGAGAAGUGAUAAUGGAGCAAGGAAACGUGGUGGAUCAGCUUUACUUUGUUUGUCAUGGUCACUUGGUAUGGUUUUGUAACCUCUGGCUUCUUUAACAUUUAUCAUAUCUCUCUUUCUGAGCAAUAAUUCUCUUUCUUCCACUAUUAAAGGUCUUUGUUACAUCUCUUCAUCUAGUAACUUUUACUUUGAUUGUCCAAACUUUUUCAUUCCCUUGCGCUCUUGGGUUGCUGUAUUGUUGGUCCUGACAAAAUCAAAUAUCUGGGCCUUUAAGUUUUGCAUUUUUCACAUUCAAUGCACUAAUGAUUUUUCUUUGUUUGCAUCCAACGAGAAGACAUCUCCAGAUUACAGUAAUAAUUAACAAUAGCUUACAUGGUUCACUAUGACCUUGCCAUUACUUAAAUUGUUUUUAGUCCCCGUGAUGAUAUCUCAUUUACCAUAAACAUCCACGUUCUUGUUCAGUUGGCUGGAUGGGAACAUUAUGAUAAUAGCUACAGCUUAUGGUUUGGUAAGAACUUCUACAGGAGGAGGUUGGCAUAGGAGAGGAUGGGUCUGAAGAAACCAUUUCACUUUUACAGCCUAACAGCUCAUUUGGACAAGUCUCCAUUCUUUGCAACAUUCCUCAGCCUUAUACAGUCCGAGUCUGUGAACUGUGUCGGCUUCUGCGGAUUGAUAAACAGUCUCUGUCAAAUAUCCUCGAGAUUUAUUUCCAUGACGGGAGAAAGAUUUUAAACAACCUUUUAGAGGUAAUGUAAUUGUGUUUGAAAGAACAAAAUGUGUUUGCUCCUGUUGCUCUUCGUGUGUAAUCCAUUUUUGAAAUAUCACAUUAGUAGAAGAUUCUCAGAGUCUUCAGAUGCUCUGUGAUUCGCAUUACAACAGUCAUAUAGGAAUUUUUCGCUGCAUAUGCUUGCAGUUAAGGGAAUCUAAUCUCCGACUCAAGCAAUUGGAGUCGGACAUCUCAUUUCAUAUUGGAAAGCAAGAAGCAGAACUUGCUUUGAGGGUAAAUAGUGCAGCCUUUCAUGGGGACCUCCAUCAGCUAAAAAGUUUAGUCAGAGCGGGGGCGGAUCUCAACAAGACAGAUUAUGAUGGAAGGUCACCCCUGGUAUGAAUUGAGCUUUUGAAUUACUUCUUUUUUAUUUUUAUUUUUUUAGGUACAUCUCCUUAUCAAGUGAUGGGAACCAAAUCACAAAGAGGAUAUUCUUUUAAUCCGCUUGCAUUAUCAGUGUGGUCUUGUGAAGGUGCUCCUGAUGUUUCGAUGCAAGUGUCUUUAGGGUUAAGGAAAGGAGGAUUGUGGUGAAAUUAGUAGGAAUAAGUCAUUAUCAACUAUUAUGUCAAAUUGUGUGCAGAAAUUGACAUUUGAACAUCCACUGCAUUUUUUCCCACUUGUCAAUUUGUUAGAUUUGGCAAUCUUCACCUUCACACUUACCACAAUACCUUAGUAACAAGGUUCAAGGUUUUUAUAUAGAUAUCUAAUGCCAUCUUCAAGGUAGCCAGGAAACCUCUUAUAUAACAAUUUUAAGUUGUGAAGGCCACCUUUCAAUGUGGAGGCAUUGUGUUUCCUAAUUCACAGUUAUUUGGAACUUUGAAAUGCAUCUUUCUGUUUUCAGCAUCUUGCAGCAGCAAGAGGCUACGAGGAUAUUGUGUUUUUUCUUGUUCAAGAGGGAGUAGAUGUCAACACGAAAGGUUUGUUUCCUCAUUAAUGUGAACUGGCUCUUCUCUCCUCCUUCAACUGUAUUUUGUACCUUUUUCACACCAACAUUGCAAAGCUGAUUUCAUUGUAGAUAAUUUUGGGAACACGGCCCUUCUAGAAGCUAUCA
Molecule: long non-coding RNA, 27309 nt
Filed under: Eucalyptus grandis
Lineage: Eukaryota; Viridiplantae; Streptophyta; Magnoliopsida; Myrtales; Myrtaceae
Description: long non-coding RNA (EGRA_LNC003800)
Source: RNAcentral